GACGAACGCUGGCGGCGUGCCUAAUACAUGCAAGUCGAGCGAAGUUUUUCUGGUGCUUGCACCGGAAAAACUUAGCGGCGAACGGGUGAGUAACACGUAAAGAACCUGCCUCAUAGACUGGGACAACUAUUGGAAACGAUAGCUAAUACCGGAUAAUAGCAUUAACUGCAUGGUUGAUGUUUAAAAGUUGGUUUUGCUAACACUAUGAGAUGGCUUUGCGGUGCAUUAGCUAGUUGGUGGGGUAAAGGCCUACCAAGGCGACGAUGCAUAGCCGACCUGAGAGGGUGAUCGGCCACACUGGGACUGAGACACGGCCCAGACUCCUACGGGAGGCAGCAGUAGGGAAUCUUCCGCAAUGGGCGAAAGCCUGACGGAGCAACGCCGCGUGAGUGAAGAAGGAUUUCGGUUCGGAAAGCUCUGUUGUUAGGGAAGAAUGAUUGUGUAGUAACUAUACACAGUAGAGACGGUACCUAACCAGAAAGCCACGGCUAACUACGUGC
RNAcentral lists this ribosomal RNA (500 nucleotides) under uncultured bacterium. RNAcentral's name for it is "partial 16S ribosomal RNA". It matches the Rfam family "Bacterial small subunit ribosomal RNA", at positions 28 to 508 of the family's 1533-position model. The record is from RNAcentral.